Molecule: non-coding RNA, 27 nt
Filed under: Homo sapiens (human)
Lineage: Eukaryota; Metazoa; Chordata; Mammalia; Primates; Hominidae
Source: RNAcentral
GGGGUCUGGUGCUUCCCGGAGAGCCGA